UACGUAGGCAGCGAGCGUUGUUCGGAGUUACUGGGCGUAAAGCGUGCGCAGGCGGUUCUAUAAGACAGAUGUGAAAUCCCCGGGCUCAACCUGGGAACUGCAUUUGUGACUGUAGAGCUGGAGUGCGGCAGAGGGGGAUGGAAUUCCGCGUGUAGCAGUGAAAUGCGUAGAGAUGUGGAGGAAUACCGAUGGCGAAGGCAGCCCCCUGGGAUAACACUGACGCUCAUGCACGAAAGCGUGGGGAGCAAACAGG
Molecule: ribosomal RNA, 253 nt
Filed under: uncultured prokaryote
Description: partial 16S ribosomal RNA
Rfam family: Bacterial small subunit ribosomal RNA
Source: RNAcentral